CAAGGUUAAAACUCAAAUGAAUUGACGGGGGCCCGCACAAGCGGUGGAGCAUGUGGUUUAAUUCGAUGCAACGCGAAGAACCUUACCUGGCCUUGACAUCCAGAGAACUUAGCAGAGAUGCUUUGGUGCCUUCGGGAACUCUGAGACAGGUGCUGCAUGGCUGUCGUCAGCUCGUGUUGUGAAAUGUUGGGUUAAGUCCCGCAACGAGCGCAACCCUUAUCCUUUGUUGCCAGCGGGUGAUGCCGGGAACUCAAAGGAGACUGCCGGUGAUAAACCGGAGGAAGGUGGGGAUGACGUCAAGUCAUCAUGGCCCUUACGGCCAGGGCUACACACGUGCUACAAUGGCGCAUACAAAGAGAAGCGACCUCGCGAGAGCAAGCGGACCUCAUAAAGUGCGUCGUAGUCCGGAUCGGAGUCUGCAACUCGACUCCGUGAAGUCGGAAUCG
RNAcentral lists this ribosomal RNA (446 nucleotides) under soybean endophytic bacterium EN173. RNAcentral describes it as "bacterial SSU rRNA". It matches the Rfam family "Bacterial small subunit ribosomal RNA", at positions 889 to 1334 of the family's 1533-position model. The record is from RNAcentral.